Molecule: long non-coding RNA, 593 nt
Filed under: Homo sapiens (human)
Lineage: Eukaryota; Metazoa; Chordata; Mammalia; Primates; Hominidae
Description: novel transcript, antisense to C7orf33 and CNTNAP2
Source: RNAcentral
CUCUUUCUCUGUGAAUUUCUUGAGAGCACAGACUACAUUCUGCUUAACUUUUUAUCCCCAGCUUUCAGCACAGUGCCUGGCUGCUUUGGCGUCUCCAAGUACCUGACCUCAGCUCAACCUGUCUUGGGUUUUCUUCUCCUCCCUGACAUUGACAACCCAGCCCUCCUAGGCACAGAGAGAUGGAGCUGAGUGUGGUUUUCCUGAAAUAAAGCUUGCAUUAUGAGAGGGAAUAAACAGAAGAAAAAAAUAAAAAAGCCUAAUUAUUUGGUAUUGUAUGCUACAAAAGAGAAAUGCCAUAAUUCCCAGUGGGGGCUGUGGAUACUGGACCCCCAUAACCAGGUGCCAGAGAUCACGUGGUGUUCAAAGUCCAAAUUAUAAGCAUAGUGCCGAGGACUCUGAGGAUGACUUCUGCACAUCUUCCGAAAAGGGAUGGAACAGCAGAAUGAGUGCCAUCAUGGCUUGGAUGGUUGGAGGUGCUUUGGGCAUGAAGACCCUCUAACUGUGAAGUUAGAGGCUUCCAAUGUUAGCUCUGUUUUAAGUAUAUGCACAAAGUCACAGUCUCAUAGCUGAGCUAUUAAAAAUAAAAUCAACAC